This is a small nuclear RNA of Ictidomys tridecemlineatus (thirteen-lined ground squirrel), 105 nucleotides long. The record is from Ensembl. Lineage: Eukaryota; Metazoa; Chordata; Mammalia; Rodentia; Sciuridae.
GUGCUCACUUCAGUAGCACAUACACUAAAAUUGGAACCAGACAGAGAAGAUUAACAUAGUUCCUGUUCAAGGAAGACACACAUUCAUGAAGCAUUUAUAUUUUUG